AAGGACUCGUUACAAGAGUGGUUUGAGUGAAGUCAGCUGAUCAAAACACUAGCUUGUUUCAUCCUAAGUUAUACUGUCUCAGAAGAGCCUCUUUGUUUCUACUUUGUACAUAGCAAGACUUAAUUUUACCCUCAUUUAUAAUUAAUUUUCUAAAACAAACCACCUUUGGAGUUGUUGCUUUGUUUGGCAUAUCCUGAAGAGUGUAAAGAUAGCAAUGUAUGUGAAUAGAUGUCACAUGUGCUUUCCAGAAAUAAGUUGGGGUGUGGCUGUGAAGUCACAGUUGAGCACUGACAUUGCCUCACUUCCUGCUCCUUGCUCUACUCUCCCUCUGGAGCUUUCGGCACACAGGGUCACCCCUGAUGCUGGUCAUCAUCAUUGCUAUGGGGAACGAAUAGCAUUUUGAUUUCUCAGCCCUGACUGCUAGGAAGUAUGUGAUUUAAGAGCACUUUAAUGGGAGGAAUGAUGAGCAGAAGACAAAACCACCCUAACCUGAGAGAGGAAAAGAUACUUUGCUUUUGUUUUUUCACAAUUUGUCUUCUGUAUUCCUUGUCUAAUCUGAAAAAUAAGCUGUUGUGAGGUCAUGCAAGACCCAUCUUAGAAUUCUUCCCAAGAACACAUCAAGGUUCGUCAUUGACAGCUUUGACACUGAAGAAAUUGUCUGAUGAACACCAAUGAAUUUAUGUUAACUCCUGUGGUGCCGAGAAGAUUUAUUAAGCUGGCACCACUAUCAAGCCCCUAAACUAAACUUCCUUUCCAUAUCUG
Molecule: long non-coding RNA, 762 nt
Filed under: Equus caballus (horse)
Lineage: Eukaryota; Metazoa; Chordata; Mammalia; Perissodactyla; Equidae
Description: lncRNA (ENSECAG00000032722.3)
Source: RNAcentral